CCCUUAGAUGUCCUGGGCCGCACGCGCGCUACACUGAUGCAUUCAACGAGUAUUUCCUUGGCCGAGAGGCCUGGGCAAUCUUUUAAACCUGCAUCGUGAUAGGGAUAGAUUAUUGCAAUUAUUAAUCUUGAACGAGGAAUUCCUAGUAAACGCGAAUCAUCAAUUUGCAUUGAUUACGUCCCUGCCCUUUGUACACACCGCCCGUCGCACCUACCGAUUGAAUGGUCCGGUGAAAUCUCGGGAUUGUGGCCAGUUCACUUUAUUGGGAGUUGGCUGCGAGAACUUGCUUAAACCUUAUCAUUUAGAGGAAGGUGAAGUCGUAACA
Molecule: ribosomal RNA, 325 nt
Filed under: uncultured eukaryote
Lineage: Eukaryota
Description: partial 18S ribosomal RNA
Rfam family: Eukaryotic small subunit ribosomal RNA
Source: RNAcentral